GGCUAGCUUCAAGUUGAAAAGGGAGUAGCCCCUUUCCUCAGCUGCCGCCAAGGUGCUCGGUCCUUCUGAGGAAGCUAAGGCUGCAUUGUGGUGAGGCCCUCACUUCAUCCAGCGACUAGCUCCGUGCGGGCAGUCCACAACAUGGCUUCUGUCUCCGAGCUCACCUGCAUCUACUCCGACCUUAUCUUGCACGAUGAGGUGAUGGUCACAGAGGAUAAGAUCAAUGCCCUGAUUAAAGCAGCUGGUGUCAAUGUUGAA
This 258-nucleotide long non-coding RNA is filed under the name Rattus norvegicus (Norway rat). RNAcentral describes it as "long non-coding RNA NONRATT025636". Lineage: Eukaryota; Metazoa; Chordata; Mammalia; Rodentia; Muridae. The record is from RNAcentral.